Molecule: non-coding RNA, 29 nt
Filed under: Mus musculus (house mouse)
Lineage: Eukaryota; Metazoa; Chordata; Mammalia; Rodentia; Muridae
Source: RNAcentral
UGUGUUGUCGGGAAUUGACUGCCUAGAUU